This 1522-nucleotide ribosomal RNA is filed under the name Shigella boydii. RNAcentral describes it as "bacterial SSU rRNA". It matches the Rfam family "Bacterial small subunit ribosomal RNA". The record is from RNAcentral. Lineage: Bacteria; Pseudomonadati; Pseudomonadota; Gammaproteobacteria; Enterobacterales; Enterobacteriaceae.
AGAGUUUGAUCAUGGCUCAGAUUGAACGCUGGCGGCAGGCCUAACACAUGCAAGUCGAACGGUGACAGGAAUCAGCUUGCUGCUUCGCUGACGAGUGGCGGACGGGUGAGUAAUGUCUGGGAAACUGCCUGAUGGAGGGGGAUAACUACUGGAAACGGUAGCUAAUACCGCAUAAUGUCGCAAGACCAAAGAGGGGGACCUUCGGGCCUCUUGCCAUCGGAUGUGCCCAGAUGGGAUUAGCUUGUUGGUGGGGUAACGGCUCACCAAGGCGACGAUCCCUAGCUGGUCUGAGAGGAUGACCAGCCACACUGGAACUGAGACACGGUCCAGACUCCUACGGGAGGCAGCAGUGGGGAAUAUUGCACAAUGGGCGCAAGCCUGAUGCAGCCAUGCCGCGUGUAUGAAGAAGGCCUUCGGGUUGUAAAGUACUUUCAGCGGGGAGGAAGGGAGUAAAGUUAAUACCUUUGCUCAUUGACGUUACCCGCAGAAGAAGCACCGGCUAACUCCGUGCCAGCAGCCGCGGUAAUACGGAGGGUGCAAGCGUUAAUCGGAAUUACUGGGCGUAAAGCGCACGCAGGCGGUUUGUUAAGUCAGAUGUGAAAUCCCCGGGCUCAACCUGGGAACUGCAUCUGAUACUGGCAAGCUUGAGUCUCGUAGAGGGGGGUAGAAUUCCAGGUGUAGCGGUGAAAUGCGUAGAGAUCUGGAGGAAUACCGGUGGCGAAGGCGGCCCCCUGGACGAAGACUGACGCUCAGGUGCGAAAGCGUGGGGAGCAAACAGGAUUAGAUACCCUGGUAGUCCACGCCGUAAACGAUGUCGACUUGGAGGUUGUGCCCUUGAGGCGUGGCUUCCGGAGCUAACGCGUUAAGUCGACCGCCUGGGGAGUACGGCCGCAAGGUUAAAACUCAAAUGAAUUGACGGGGGCCCGCACAAGCGGUGGAGCAUGUGGUUUAAUUCGAUGCAACGCGAAGAACCUUACCUGGUCUUGACAUCCACGGAAGUUUUCAGAGAUGAGAAUGUGCCUUCGGGAACCGUGAGACAGGUGCUGCAUGGCUGUCGUCAGCUCGUGUUGUGAAAUGUUGGGUUAAGUCCCGCAACGAGCGCAACCCUUAUCCUUUGUUGCCAGCGGUCCGGCCGGGAACUCAAAGGAGACUGCCAGUGAUAAACUGGAGGAAGGUGGGGACGACGUCAAGUCAUCAUGGCCCUUACGACCAGGGCUACACACGUGCUACAAUGGCGCAUACAAAGAGAAGCGACCUCGCGAGAGCAAGCGGACCUCAUAAAGUGCGUCGUAGUCCGGAUUGGAGUCUGCAACUCGACUCCAUGAAGUCGGAAUCGCUAGUAAUCGUGGAUCAGAAUGCCACGGUGAAUACGUUCCCGGGCCUUGUACACACCGCCCGUCACACCAUGGGAGUGGGUUGCAAAAGAAGUAGGUAGCUUAACCUUCGGGAGGGCGCUUACCACUUUGUGAUUCAUGACUGGGGUGAAGUCGUAACAAGGUAACCGUAGGGGAACCUGCGGUUG